RNAcentral lists this ribosomal RNA (400 nucleotides) under uncultured bacterium. RNAcentral's name for it is "bacterial SSU rRNA". It matches the Rfam family "Bacterial small subunit ribosomal RNA", at positions 355 to 766 of the family's 1533-position model. The record is from RNAcentral.
CUGGGAAUCUUCGACAAUGGGCGAAAGCCUGAUCGAGCGACGUCGCGUGGGGGAUGAAGGCCUUCGGGUUGUAAACUCCUUUUGCUAGGGAACAAUACAAUUGAGUUAACCUAGCGAAUAAGCACCUGCAAACUACGUGCCAGCAGCAGCGGUGAUACGUAGGGUGCAAGCAUUAUCCGGAUUUAUUGGGCGUAAAGGGUUGCGUAGGUGGUUUAGUAAGUCUUUUCUUAAAGACCCUGGCUUAACUAGGGUACUGGAGCAGAUACUGCUAGACUUUGAAGAAGUGAGAGGUCAGCGGAACUUAUGGUGGAGCAGUGAAAUGCGUUGAGAUCAUAAUGAACACCGAUGGCGUAGGCAGCUGACUGGCACUUUCUUGACACUGAGGCACGAAAGCUAGGGG